RNAcentral lists this long non-coding RNA (265 nucleotides) under Lathyrus oleraceus (garden pea). RNAcentral's name for it is "Pisum sativum (pea) long non-coding RNA (PSAT_LNC007802)". The record is from RNAcentral. Lineage: Eukaryota; Viridiplantae; Streptophyta; Magnoliopsida; Fabales; Fabaceae.
AAGCUUCGGUCAACCACUUGGUGUUGCACUGAAGUGGACUUAAGGAAAGGUCAAUGAUUUGAGAUCCUUCUAGAACCCGGUUACUAUUCUAAGACAGGUUGAACCAACCAAACUUCAGUGGGGAGGGUAUUACCUAUGGAACUCACGCAAGCCUUAAAACCUAGGAAUGAUUGUUGUGUGACUUGCUUGUGCUUGUUAUUUAUCUAACAACAUAACAUCAUAACAUCAUAACAUCAUGGCAUUGUACUAACCAUUUCAAGGAUUU